UACGUAGGGUGCAAGCGUUAAUCGGAAUUACUGGGCGUAAAGCGUACGCAGGCGGCUUUGCAAGACAGGUGUGAAAUCCCCGGGCCUAACCUGGGAACUGCAUUUGUGACUGCAUGGCUAGAGUUUGUCAGAGGGGGGUGGAAUUCCACGUGUAGCAGUGAAAUGCGUAGAUAUCUGGAGGAACACCGGUGGCGAAGGCGGCAUCCUGGACCAAUUCUGACGCUGAGGAGCGAAAGCCAGGGGAGCAAACGGG
RNAcentral lists this ribosomal RNA (253 nucleotides) under uncultured bacterium. RNAcentral describes it as "partial 16S ribosomal RNA". It matches the Rfam family "Bacterial small subunit ribosomal RNA", at positions 524 to 776 of the family's 1533-position model. The record is from RNAcentral.